Molecule: ribosomal RNA, 560 nt
Filed under: [Eubacterium] saphenum
Lineage: Bacteria; Bacillati; Bacillota; Clostridia; Peptostreptococcales; Anaerovoracaceae
Description: bacterial SSU rRNA
Rfam family: Bacterial small subunit ribosomal RNA
Source: RNAcentral
AAUGGGGGAAACCCUGAUGCAGCAACGCCGCGUGAGGUAUGAAGGCCUUUGGGUUGUAAGCCUCUGUCCUAGGGGAAGAAAAACAUGACGGUACCCGAGGAGGAAGCCCCGGCUAACUACGUGCCAGCAGCCGCGGUAAUACGUAGGGGGCAAGCGUUAUCCGGAAUUAUUGGGCGUAAAGAGUGCGUAGGUGGUCUACUAAGCGCGAGGUGAAAGGCAAUGGCUCAACCAUUGUUAGCCUUGUGAACUGGCAGACUUGAGUGCAAGAGAGGAAAGCGGAAUUCCUAGUGUAGCGGUGAAAUGCGCAGAUAUUAGGAGGAACACCGGCGGCGAAGGCGGCUUUCUGGAUUGUAACUGACACUGAGGCACGAAAGCGUGGGUAGCAAACAGGAUUAGAUACCCUGGUAGUCCACGCCGUAAACGAUGAGCACUAGGUGUCGGGACAUGAGUCUCGGUGCCGCAGUUAACGCAAUAAAGUGCUCCGCCUGGGGAGUACGCACGCAAGUGUAAAACUCAAAGGAAUUGACGGGGACCCGCACAAGCAGCGGAGCAUGUGGUUU